This 69-nucleotide transfer RNA is filed under the name Alima pacifica. Its description in RNAcentral is "tRNA-Ile". Lineage: Eukaryota; Metazoa; Arthropoda; Malacostraca; Stomatopoda; Squillidae. The record is from RNAcentral.
AAUGAAGUGCCUGAAAAAGGAUUAUCUUGAUAGGGUAAACAAUGUAAAUAUUUGGUUUUGCCUUCAUUA